Rhopilema esculentum is the source of this 1307-nucleotide RNA transcript. It is a transcript of the gene named myosin, essential light chain pseudogene, with no coding region annotated. The record is from RefSeq and is a predicted model, not a curated record. NCBI's taxonomy places the organism in Eukaryota, Metazoa, Cnidaria, Scyphozoa, Rhizostomeae, Rhizostomatidae.
CACCUGAAUUGAAAGGAACUCUAUUUACUCUUUUGAUCAUUAUUUGACGUUAUACUCUGAGGGAAUUACAGUUCUACGUGUUGUAUUUCCGCCAUUUCACGCCAUUUCACACCAUUUUAAAAUCUUAGUAGGAAAUGAGUGAGGGCAUUGUGCCAAUCCACCUUUCAAACGCAUUCUUCAAUCAGAGGCACAAUAUCACCAACAUUUAAGGGUGACAACGACAACGUUUUUAUGCCUAAAAGAUGCCAUAACGCAGCUCAAAAUGAUGCUGGAGAGCUUUUCAAUCUGCGUUUAUAGGGCUGGCCUGGCCACAUUACCUCCUGGCCUAACUGCGAGAAGAUGCAACAAAUUUUACAUAGUUCUUGAGCAUUAAUAAUUACCUAAUAACACUUUACAUCAUAGCAAAAGCAUUAAUGCAGAAGACGCCAAUUGAGCUACAGGAUGCUUGGUACCUGUAUUAAGUAGGCUUAAUAUUUCGAACACAAAAUGCUUAAAUACCUCUUAUUGAUUCGGCAGACUUUAUCAGUGCGUGCUAUACUCCUAGACAAUGAAACUGGGUAGGCAUUGUGCCAAUAUUUAGCUCUUUGUCACAAAAAUUAAUUCCAAGAUAGAAUAGGUAAGUCCUAAUGCAAAGUGCCCUGACUUUAUUAAAUAAGAGCGUUUCAACAGUAAUAGCUGCAUUCACUACAUUAGCAUCUGUAACAAGGACGAAAUACAACGAAGUGAUCAAACGCAACUAUGGCUGGAGCUGAAAUUGAUGAAGAUCAGUUGGAAGAUAUGAAAGACUGCUACUCAAUUUUUGACAAAAAAGGUGAUAUGAAAGUUGAAAGCGAUCGCCUUGUUGAUGUUCUUCGUUCUCUUGGGCUGAACCCUCUCACAGAAGACGUGGAAAAAUGCCUCGAAGAAUCCAAACUCAAAGGACAAAGAGUCGAUUUCGAAACAUUCUUCGGCAUCUACAAAUUCAUUUUGAAUAAGCCCACUGUUGGUAGCUACGAAGAUAUGGUUGAGGGGCUGAAAACCCUGGACAGAGACGCGAGUGGCCUGAUAUAUGCCGCAGAAAUUCGACACAUCUUGUCAAAAGUAGCAGACAGGAUGACUGAGGACCAAUUGAAUCAUACCGUUGGCCCUUUUGAGAAUGCAGAGGGCUUGGUAGCGUAUGAGACUCUGAUUAAAUCAGUUAUGGCUGCUUGAUCGAAGACUGAGAAUUCAAUUUCGAAUCCAACUGCAUGUUGCAUUUGCUAAUGAAAUUUCAAUAUGAAUUUUAAUUCAAGAAGGAUUGUAUUAAAUGAAUGUGAUACAUUGGACAA